RNAcentral lists this ribosomal RNA (562 nucleotides) under uncultured eukaryote. RNAcentral describes it as "SSU rRNA". It matches the Rfam family "Eukaryotic small subunit ribosomal RNA", at positions 6 to 565 of the family's 1831-position model. The record is from RNAcentral.
GGUUGAUCCUGCCAGUAGUCAUAUGCUUGUCUCAAAGAUUAAGCCAUGCAUGUCUAAGCACAUGCCUUAAUACGGUGAAGCCGCGAAUAGCUCAUUACAACAGCCACCGUUUAUUAGAAUAUCGUUAUCCUACUUGGAUAACUGUGGCAAUUCUAGAGCUAAUACAUGCAAAAAAGCUCCGCCCGCGAGGAACGAGCGCAUUUAUUAGAAUAAAAACCAAUCGGGUCUCGGCCCGUAAUUUGGUGAAUCUGAAUAACUUUGCCAAUCGCACGGUCCUAGUACCGGCGAUGUAUCUUUCAAGUGUCUGCCUUAUCAACUUUCGAUGGUAGGUUAUACGCCUACCAUGGUAGUAACGGGUAACGGAGAAUAAGGGUUCGACUCCGGAGAGGGAGCCUGAGAAACGGCUACCACAUCCAAGGAAGGCAGCAGGCGCGCAAAUUACCCACUUCCAGAACGGAGAGGUAGUGACGAAAAAUAACGAGACAGUCCUCUUCGAGGUCUGUCAUCGGAAUGGGUACAAUUUAAAUCCUUUAACGAGGAUCUAUUGGAGGGCAAGUCUGGU